GGUAAAUGACGUCACACGCGGCCAUGUGGGUGUGUUUGGGUGCAGUCGAGAGAGAACCAUGGCCAAGUAUACUGUGCAGUUCCCGCCCGCCUCUUACUCCUUUCUGGCGCCUCUGCUCUACCAGGUCGCCCAUACUACAAGCUCUCCCUUCCUCGGCCAUACCCUUGAGGUCAGUUCCGGCAAUAACAGUGAGCAAGACCUCGUUACCUAUACAAGCUUUCUAGGAAUCGCUAUUAAGGGUUAGUUAGACUCGACAUGUUGAUGGUAGUAACAGUGUGGGUCCUUAAUCUAACAUUUCGGGGUUUACACACGCGCAUUUGGUAAGGCUUUCGGGGGGUGGGGGUGGUUGUUGUAAGUGUGAUGAGGCUUUCGUAGGGGUUGUUUUAAGUGUGAUAAGGCUUUCGUAGGGGUUGUAAGUGUGAUAAGGCUUUCGUAGAGGUUGUUGUACGUGUGAUAAGGCUUUCGAAGAUGUUGUUGUGGGUAUUUCCAUGGGUAGUUUUUUGAGUUGGUAAUAAAUGACGUUUUUAAAGGCCAUACUCAAAUAUCUCGGGGCUUACACACACACACACACACACACACACACACACACACACACACAGAGUUAGUAAGCCUUUCGUAUAGGUUGAGGGUGUGGGUAUUUCCAUGGGUACUUUUAUGAGGCUAGUAACAGUUUGACAAUGCUUCCGCACGACCAUGAAUGUAAAAAGCAUGCAUGAAAGCCUGACUAUAUGAUCUUGUUUGUGGACUUGGUAACAGUUGUUGUGAGCCUAAAGCAUCUACCAAUACGGACGGAUGCAGGGUUGGCGAGAACAAGAGUAAUUAGAAGUGAUGUAUGUGGAGUUUAGCGAAGAGGAAGGCAGUUAAGAAGGUGCCGUAGGUUUUCGAGUUAGUAAUAAGUGGUAUAAGGAAGAGAUAAGUAAGUGGAAGUGAUGUAUGUGGAGUUUAGCGAAGUGGAAAGCAACGUUGCCAGAUUGUCGUACUCAGCCUCUUGUAUUUACCGACUUCCGACCCAAAAACUGUCUCCUGGGCCCCAAGAUUCAUUAAUAAUUAUUAUCGUUAAAAUAGUUAAUUCCUGAUGUUUCUUGGCAAUAGUUAGGCGUCAGAAACCGAUAAAUGCUAUGCUCUGAGUACGAUAAUCUGGCAACGGUGGUGGAAAGCAGUUUAGAAGGUGCCGUAGGUUUUAGAUAAUUAAGUGGAAGUGAUGUUUGUGGAGUUUAGCGAAGUGGAAGGCAGUUUAGAAGGUGCUGCUGGAUUUCGAGUUAGUAAUAAGUGAUCUAAGGAAACGAUAAUUAAGUGGAAGUGAUGUUUGUGGAGUUAAGCGAAGUGGAAAGCAGUUUAGAAGGUGCCGUAGGUUUUAGAGUUCGUAUUAAGUGGUAAAUAAGUGGAAGUGAUGUGUGUGGAGUAUAUUUAAGUGGAAAAACAGUUAGGAAGGUGUCGUAGGUUUCGAGUCGGUAAUAGCAUGUUAGUAAGGAAAAAUAAUUGUAAGUGGAGUUUAGCGAAGGGAAAAACAGUUAAGGUGUCGAUGGUUCCUGAGUUGGUAAUAAGGGACGCCUGUUGAUAAGGAAAAGUAAUUGUAAGUGGAGUUUAGCGAAGGGGAGAGCAGUUUUGAAGGUGAGGUCUGUUAGUAAGGAGGAGAUAAGUAUUUAGAAGUGAAGUAAGUGGAGUUUAGCGAAGGGGAGAAGAGUUUUGAAGGUGAGGUCUGUUAGUAAGGAGGAGAUAAGUAUUUAGAAGUGAAGUAAGUGGAGUUUAGCGAAGGGGAGAGCAGUUUUGAAGGUGAGGUCUGUUAGUAAGGAGGAGAUAAGUAUUUAGAAGUGAAGUAAGUGAAGUUUAGCGAAGGGGAGAGCAGUUUUGAAGGUGAGGUCUGUUAGUAAGGAGGAGAUAAGUAUUUAGAAGUGAAGUAAGUGGAGUUUAGCGAAGGGGAAAACAGAUAAGAAAGUGCCGUUGGUUUUUGAGUUGGUGAUAAGUUCAAGCAGUAAGGAAGAGCUUGCAAUACGGCCAAUUAUGUUUUUUUUUUUUUUUUCAAGGAUUCUCUCUCUGGUCCAUAUUCUUAAACGUACAUAUAUUCAUACAUUAGUUCAAGGUUGAUAUAUUUCUCUCCUUCUUCUUCUUCUUCUUCUUCUUCUUCUUCAGUCUUCUUUUUUCCUUUUUCUUCUAUCCGUUUCUUCAGUCUUAUUUUCUCCUUUUUCUUCUUUCGUUUCUUCAGUCUUCUCCUUUUUCUUCUUUCCGUUUCCUUAGUCUUUUCUCAUUUUUCUCCUCUUCGUUUCUUCAAUCUUCUUCUUUCCUCCUUUUUUCUCCUUUCCUUCUUCCUUCUUCAGUCUUAUUUUCUCCUUUUUCUCCUUUCCGUUUCUUCAAUCUUCUUCUUUUCUCCUUUUCUUCUUUCCGUUUCCUUAGUCUUUUCUCAUUUUUCU
Eriocheir sinensis (Chinese mitten crab) is the source of this 2408-nucleotide long non-coding RNA. RefSeq lists it as uncharacterized. The transcript has 3 exons. Lineage: Eukaryota; Metazoa; Arthropoda; Malacostraca; Decapoda; Varunidae. The record is from RefSeq and is a predicted model, not a curated record.